Molecule: transfer RNA, 73 nt
Filed under: Stegodyphus mimosarum
Lineage: Eukaryota; Metazoa; Arthropoda; Arachnida; Araneae; Eresidae
Rfam family: tRNA
About the family: Transfer RNA (tRNA) molecules are approximately 80 nucleotides in length. Their secondary structure includes four short double-helical elements and three loops (D, anti-codon, and T loops).
Source: Rfam by way of RNAcentral
GCCUUCAUGGUGUAGUGGUCAGCACGCUUGGCGCAUAUUCGAGAGGUCCGUGGUUCGAGUCCUGGCAAGGGCA